RNAcentral lists this ribosomal RNA (492 nucleotides) under uncultured bacterium. Its description in RNAcentral is "partial 16S ribosomal RNA". It matches the Rfam family "Bacterial small subunit ribosomal RNA", at positions 29 to 507 of the family's 1533-position model. The record is from RNAcentral.
AGUGAACGCUGGCGGUAGGCCUAACACAUGCAAGUCGAACGGCAGCACAGUAAGAGCUUGCUCUUACGGGUGGCGAGUGGCGGACGGGUGAGGAAUACAUCGGAAUCUACUUUUUCGUGGGGGAUAACGUAGGGAAACUUACGCUAAUACCGCAUACGACCUACGGGUGAAAGCAGGGGAUCUUCGGACCUUGCGCGAUUGAAUGAGCCGAUGUCGGAUUAGCUAGUUGGCGGGGUAAAGGCCCACCAAGGCGACGAUCCGUAGCUGGUCUGAGAGGAUGAUCACCCACACUGGAACUGAGACACGGUCCAGACUCCUACGGGAGGCAGCAGUGGGGAAUAUUGGACAAUGGGCGCAAGCCUGAUCCAGCCAUACCGCGUGGGUUAAGAAGGCCUUCGGGUUGUAAAGCCCUUUUGUUGGGAAAGAAAAGCAGCAGGUUAAUACCCCGCUGUUCUGACGGUACCCAAAGAAUAAGCACCGGCUAACUUCGUG